Punica granatum (pomegranate) is the source of this 936-nucleotide non-coding RNA. Lineage: Eukaryota; Viridiplantae; Streptophyta; Magnoliopsida; Myrtales; Lythraceae. The record is from RefSeq and is a predicted model, not a curated record.
GUGCUAUCGACUCACUUCCAUUCGAAAAACUCAGCUUGUGGUUGUUCGACUAUUUACCCACAGCUUGUGGUUGUUUGACUCUUCAUCUGCUCAGAAUAUAACCACCCCUAGCGAUAUCAUUGACUGCUCAGUUGCUCUAAUACGCGUUCAUCUCACGUUCCCGCUAAUAGACAUCCACUUUUCUCUAUACCAGUGCUUUCCCCGAAAAGCUCUUCACCUUUCCUCUUCAUCCUUCUCAUCUCCCAAAUCAAAUUGUACCCCCAUAAUCUCUCUCUCUCCUCGCUCUGACUCUGUAUCUUCGUCCUUCGUCUUUCGCUGGCGAUCGGAGACUUCUCCCCGAGAAAUCAAGCCCAAGAACCGAAGAUCAUUCAUUUCUUAGAGGAUGCAGGGGCUCCUGAUGAUGACGACAACAGGUUGCCACCAUGACUGAAGCCUCUGCCAAAAAUUCACCAGUAUAGAGUCCCACAAGAGCGGAUGCAACAUGUACUGCUUAGACUGCAUGAACGGUGCUUGGCAUUUUCUCAACAAUUGCUUCUCUCUAUCCACAUUCUUUUCUUCGUGAGAGAGAGAUCGAGAGAGAUUCAAAGAGACGGCGGGCGCUCAGUUAAUGAAGAGAAUGCCACUUAUCAAGUUUCGGGACGCAUACCAACCCUCGGGUCAGUUGCCAACCGAUCCAUAGUUUUCAAUUUUCAAUUAUGAAAGCUUGUCUUCUCCUCCGAUUAUCGAUGCUGAAAUGGAUGCAUCGCACAUUGUGAUGUCCAGAGCGCAUAAUGUAAGAGUUAUGGUUCGGUUGAUAGAUUUUUCGAAAUGGGAAUUACAAAUGGGAAAGAAAAGAUGACGAAUAGGGGCUUUUCUGUUGUCAUGGCUGAUACUUAUGAGUAAUAUCAUAAAAGAACGGAGAGAUGACAAUAAAAUAGAUUACCGCUUUUUAUGUUG